AGGGAAAGAGAAAGAAAGGGAGAGACAGAGAGAUACAGAGGGAUAGAGAGGGAGAAACACUGUGUGUUUGUGUGUUCCAUAAUUUGCCACUUCACCAACUAAGGGGCUGCCUUGGGCUUCACAUCUUUGAGAAGCUUUUACUGGUUUGGUCCAGGAGCAACAGGCAAAAGCAAUGAGAUUGUGGGGUCUCUGUCACUCUGUCGCCCCCUUGUCUUUGGACAUCAUUGAGCAACUCUACCUCGAGUCCCAAGGGGACAACAUUCCUGUGGGCUCAACAAAGAAAGAAAAGAAUAUUGGAGCUCCGUUGUGGAUGAGACAUAUUGGUUUUGAGAUCCCUCCCAAGGCCCUAGCUAUUCUUCUAAUUCUUUUGAAUCCACGCCCUCCUGCUUCUGCCAAGGCUUACUCACCCAAUUUGGACACAAAACAAAGGGCUGCUCCACGCAGGAUCAACAAAGUCCAUCCUAUUAUAUUGGCAACUUCUCCCAAGGCUGUCCCCAACGCCCCCUCCACCACAAGGCCCCAGCAAGAACCCUCUGGAUGGGAAAAUGCCAACCCAACCCACCCUCCGUUACGCAGUAUGACACAGAGGAGAAGAAAAGUGUGUUGUGUUUACCCCAUCGUCCAGCUGGGCAACUGUUAAGAGGUGGAGGUAUAAAGUCCGUCCCAUCUUUGUCCCCCAGUCCCAAAGUUCCCCAAUGUGUGUACCUCAACAUGCCUCCCAGACCCCCCAGGGAGGCCCUUCUGGAUAAUAACACCCUUUUGGGUCUUUCUUGAAAAUGUCACCAGUUGGGAGAAUCUAGAAGUAAAGAAACCGCUGCAAGAAUCGAGAAGUAUUUCCCCUAUUUCCCCCACAGAUAUUACAAAAUUGUGCCUGAGCAAAUUGAUAUUAAAAUAAAAAAAAUUUGAGGUAGAGUGGGAGUCCUUCAGAUAGAGCCCCAAAGAUAGAAAGAAAGCCAUUGGGCUGGGGAUGGACGUGUCUAAAGUACCGAGGCUAAAUCCACGGAAAGAAGAUAUGGGGACCCCUGGCCUAGCUGGGUGCUAGCAGGAGCUUCAGCAAAAGCCACAUUUUCAUCUCCCAGUCAAAUCAAGUUGAAGUCUUGACUCCUGGAGGCUGAGUGCAGCUGGGCUACUUAGGAUGGCAGCUGGGUACAGCUGGGCCACUGAGAACUUGAGGAAGUGGCCCUGACAAGAAGGAACCCCGCCCUGGUAUGCCCCGCCUACAGAGGCAGGGGGCGGGGAUGCUGCUGGCUGCCAGUGCAGGAGCUGCUGGCUCCUGGUACAUCCAGGAUGGGGGAUGCUCUUGCUUUCUGCUGCCUUGUCAAGAGAGUUUGGACUUUCUGGGCAGAGGGCAGAACUGAAGGGAAGCAUGAGGAACCAUCUCUUCACACCACAAAUAGAGGUCCUUAAACUGAAUUAAAUCUUUUUUAACAAUGCACCAGCUAAGAAGAACCCCACCAUUGAAACAUAUUAUGGGAACAGGGAAGACUAGAGUUCAUCUUCAGAGAAGGACACUAAGUAAAAAAGCUUUUACAUCAAAGAGUAACCUGAAAUGGCCCCAAACUCAAAGAGAAUGUAUACAACUUAAAAUUUAAGAAGUUAAAAAUCAAAUGAGAGACACUAGGGAAAAACGAAUCAAAUUUUAAAAUUCCAUCCAAGAAAAACCAAAACCUUAGGAAACAAGAAAGGAAACCAACUUGCAGAGGAGGAACAGAGUCUUGGAAGUGAGGAUGAUGGAGCAAGUGCAAGACAGGAAAGUAAAGACAAAGCAGGCAGUAACAAAAAGAAUAGAUUUUAGAGAUUGAAAACAAAUAGAACAAAAUGUGAAAUAUCUUAAAAGUUAAAAAAACAGAUCUGGAGGACAGAUUUAAGAAGAGAAAAUGGAAUUGGACUCUUGACAAUUGUGACCCAAAAAAACCCUUGACACAAAAAUGCAAGAAAUAAUUUAGGACAAUUGUCCUGGGGGUGGAAGAGCCAAGAUGGCAGAGAGAAGACAGGACUUUAUCAGAGCUCUUCCACAUAUCUCCCACAUUGAAUUAACAGCAAAUCGAGCCUUUGAUCUGAGUGACAGAACCCACAAAUAUUUGGAGUGUAUCAAAUUGCCACCAGAAGAUAAUUUUAAAGAUCUCCAGAAAAGGUCUGCUUCAACUGGCCACUGUGAGAGGUGGGCUGAGCACUGGUAGUACAGACCCCCAGGGUGGUGUGGGCUCUAGGCACUAGGGAAUCUAUCAGUAGGAAUCUACAGCAGUAUUGGUUCCUCUGUCCUGGUUGCAAGCCUAGUAGAUCAGCAGAUUAUCUGGAAAACAUCCAACACAAAUACAAAAGACAAUUAGUGAGCCACUAAAUCCCAGAAGAUCCUGGGCCUGGCCCUGCCCACCUGGCACCAGAAGUUAGUCAGCAUUGCAGCCAGCACAACUUAUUAGAGGAAGCUAGGACAAUCUCCCCUUUGUCAUAAAUGGACCUCAACCUUAAAAAAAUUAAGCAAAAAGAACUCUCAGCAUAGUUAUUAUGGGGAAAGAAAAGAGAUUUCAAACUCUGAGGACACUAAAAGCAGAUUAUCUCCAGAGACCCCAAAGGAUGAUAGGAAUUGAUCCCCAUCUCACAACCCUCUCUUGGAAGGGCUUGAAAGAAUUCAAAAAGGGACUUAAAACACGGAAGAAAUAUAAGGAAAGGCAAUGAAACUUUUGCAAGACGGUUUGGAAAAGGAAAAAGAAAUUAUCCGAAGAAAACUCCUUACCAAAUAGAUUGAAUGAAAUGGAAAAAGCAUAUAACAUCUUACAAAACAGAUUUGACAAAAUGGAAAAAGAAAGUAA
This is a long non-coding RNA of Sarcophilus harrisii (Tasmanian devil), 2810 nucleotides long. RefSeq lists it as uncharacterized. The record is from RefSeq and is a predicted model, not a curated record. NCBI's taxonomy places the organism in Eukaryota, Metazoa, Chordata, Mammalia, Dasyuromorphia, Dasyuridae. The transcript is spliced from 2 exons.